Long non-coding RNA from Mesocricetus auratus (golden hamster), 2132 nucleotides. RefSeq lists it as uncharacterized. The transcript has 3 exons. Lineage: Eukaryota; Metazoa; Chordata; Mammalia; Rodentia; Cricetidae. The record is from RefSeq and is a predicted model, not a curated record.
UGAGGAGAAGCUCAAAAGGCAGCAGUUAAGUGAUUGAGGAAUUGGGAUAACUCAACAACACCCAGAUGUCCGAGUCCUGAAUUCAGCUAUUGCCAGAGGCUGCAAUAUUCUUUUGAUGGACUGCAAAUGCCCUGGUCUGUGUGCAGUGUGUUUUUGCCCUUUAGCACAAGUGGUCCACUAUUUCAGCAGUGAUAUGAUAUGGUGACGAUGGAAAUGGAAAUUCCUUUUUCUUUAUAAAUCCCCGACUGUUCUACUGAGAAAGAAGCUGAGCAACUAGACAGAAGCCCAAACGCUUCAAACAAAUGAAACCACAUAAUGGAAAACUCAAGAAGUUGGUCAUGUUUCCUCUUGGUGAGUUUCUGGCUGUGGGACCUAGGCCAGAGAAGAAAUCAAAGCAAAGCUCACAUAGUUAUGUGCAUGGUUUAAGAUGAUCAAUUAUAAGGUCCAAGAUCAAGAUACCAGCAGGAUUCGUUCCUUCCAAGGCCCCUCUCUGCAGAUUGCAAAUGGAUGAAUACAUAAUGAAGACAGGAUACAUUUCCAAGAGAGGAGGAAGGGUAAAGACCAAAAGGAAGAAGAUCUGUGCAAGAUCAUCCAGGGAGUCUGCAUCUGUCAUCAAUUCACAGUACCUAGAGGAUGUGCCCAGCAGAGUGUGUUUGGGGGGACAGGUGUUACAGGGAGAGAAAUGAUAGGAACACUGAGGCUUACAGUGCUCCCCAGAAUGCUCUUGGGCAAGGCUUUCUGCAGAAGCAGAGUCUGAAUGACGACCUAGAGACGUGAAGAGCUUAUUGUUGAUGACCUCUUCUUCGCCUACACCUUUGCACAAGUCGCAUUGAUGUUUCUCUGUUCUCCAUUGCUACAACAAAGACACCCAUGGUGGGUAUCUUAUGGAGGAAAAGAGUUGUUUAGCUCAGUUUUGGAGGAUGUAAAUUAAGAAAUUAGUCACUUUCCCCUCUUAUAGAGCUUUGUGACACAUGACUUCAGGGUAGCAGAGCCAUUGGUGACAAGACUGGAAGCAAGAGAAUGAUGCUAUAGCCAGAGCAUCUCUCUUGGAGCAGCUGAAUCUGCAGACAAAUUCGAGACCUCAUAAGAAAUGCAUUAGACUUUCCCGAAGGCUUACCACCCCCCAUGACUUCAUCACCUCCCACUACCCAUUACCUCUUAAUGUCCCAUCACCUCUUAGGACACCACAAGUGUGUACACAAACACAAACACAAACCAUGGCAGCAGCUAUCUGAAGCAUGCUUCCUCCUGUGUCCCUGAAGCCUUUUCCACUAUCUGAGCUCCAGGGCUGACCUCUCCAUCACUCCAUCACUGUGCUAUAGGUCCGAGGUUCUGCUUUACCUUUCCAUUGCUUUCUGUUAGAAUGUCUCAGCUCCAUGAAUGCAGAUAUUCCAGGAUCUUAAAAUAUGCUUCGUAAAUUCCCAGCCUUCCCACUCCUAAGAGUAGUCUAUGCCCAUUUCUAACUAAAAACUCCCAACUCCAUUCCCAGCAUCCUACUUGGACUCAUAUAAAUUCACACAGGAUCAUUUUUCUCCUUUGCUGCUAGAUCUAAUGGCCACUCUGGGGCACUUCCCUCUGAUUCCCCUCCUUCCAGCUAGCAGGCAGACUCAGUCACUCACAUUGCUGAUAGGAUAAACCCCUCUGCUCUAGGUUGUACUAUGUUUCAUCAAAAGAUAAAUGUUGACUUUUUGGCCACUAGUGUCUAUGAAUAUGACCUUAUUUGGAACAGAGUCUUUGUGAAUGGAAGACCAGUGGGGGUUGGGGGGUGAGGUGUCCUUGACACUAACCCAGAAUGACUAUGUGUCUACACCAGUAAAAGGAAAUUGGAUACAGGCUCACAGGAAGAAUGCCAAGUAAAAAUGGAGAAAAGCAGGAAGGCAGCCAUGUGAAGAGGUAGGGGUGCUGCCCACUCAACAAUCUCUGGAGCCACAAGAAAGAAGCUGAAAAGGGGAAGAGAGGGUCCUCUCUCCCCACCUACUGGCUUUUGAGCAAUACCUCAGCUGAGACUUCCAGGUCCCAACAUGACAAGACAAGAACAUUUUCCUGUUUAAGCUAUCCAGUCUGGGGGUCAUUUCUUGUAGCAAUUCUGGACAUCACUUUUUAAAAUUACAAUAAAAGAUGCUGGCUACUCA